UACAGAGGGUGCAAGCGUUGUUCGGAAUUAUUGGGCGUAAAGGGUGCGUAGGCGGUUUGGUAAGUCUUGUGUGAAAUCUACAGGCUCAACUUGUAGUCUGCACGAGAAACUGCCGGGCUUGAGUGUGGGAGAGGUGAGUGGAAUUCCUGGUGUAGCGGUGAAAUGCGUAGAUAUCAGGAGGAACACCUGCGGUGUAGACGGCUUUCUGGACCAUUGCUGACGCUGAGACACGAAAGCGUGGGUAGCAAACAGG
This 253-nucleotide ribosomal RNA is filed under the name uncultured bacterium. Its description in RNAcentral is "partial 16S ribosomal RNA". It matches the Rfam family "Bacterial small subunit ribosomal RNA", at positions 524 to 776 of the family's 1533-position model. The record is from RNAcentral.